RNAcentral lists this long non-coding RNA (423 nucleotides) under Trifolium pratense (red clover). RNAcentral's name for it is "long non-coding RNA (TPRA_LNC011657)". The record is from RNAcentral. Lineage: Eukaryota; Viridiplantae; Streptophyta; Magnoliopsida; Fabales; Fabaceae.
UAUAACUGGAUGGAGCAGUAACUUGGUAUAGGGGGAACCUAAUGGAGCACAAGAAUCUGCAAUACUCUGUUUUUGUUGUGCUUUCAUUUGGUGAUCGCUACUCUUCAAUGAAUUCUUCACGCUUCUUUUUUUUUUUUUUGAGGAUCUCGUUCAUUUGAUUCUUUCAUACGUUCCAUUUGGUUUUCACAGGGAGGACAUGUACUGUGAAAGUUGUGGCAGAGAUUAUCAUGGACUUAUUUUUGGUUUGGUGUGCUAAGUAAAGAACUACGAAUGUACUUGUUCUGAAUGGUGUCUUUUGAUGCAUGUCUACUUUUCAGUCAGUUGAAGUUUUGGAUAUCUUUUGAUACAAUUGGAUAAGAAAGGAUAGUACAGAUAAUUCAAAUUUCUUCAAUGAAAUUCUAUUUACUAUUUUUAAUCCAGAUA